CCGCGGUAAUACGUAGGAUGCUAGCGUUGUCCGGAAUCACUGGGCGUAAAGGGUCCGUAGGCGGUUUGUUAAGUCUCCUGUGAAAACUUCGGGCUCAACCCGGAGAGGUCGGGGGAUACUGGCAAACUUGAGACUGUCAGAGGCAGGUGGAAUUCCCGGUGUAGUGGUGAAAUGCGUAGAUAUCGGGAGGAACACCAGUGGCGAAAGCGGCCUGCUGGGGCAGUUCUGACGCUGAGGGACGAAAGCGUGGGUAGCAAACCGG
RNAcentral lists this ribosomal RNA (262 nucleotides) under uncultured bacterium. RNAcentral describes it as "partial 16S ribosomal RNA". It matches the Rfam family "Bacterial small subunit ribosomal RNA", at positions 515 to 776 of the family's 1533-position model. The record is from RNAcentral.